RNAcentral lists this ribosomal RNA (245 nucleotides) under uncultured bacterium. RNAcentral describes it as "partial 16S ribosomal RNA". It matches the Rfam family "Bacterial small subunit ribosomal RNA", at positions 550 to 794 of the family's 1533-position model. The record is from RNAcentral.
AUCAUUGGGUUUAAAGGGUCCGUAGGCGGCUUUGUAAGUCAGUGGUGAAAUCCGGCAGCUUAACUGUCGAACUGCCAUUGAUACUGCAGGGCUUGAAUUAUUGGGAAGUAACUAGAAUAUGUAGUGUAGCGGUGAAAUGCUUAGAUAUUACAUGGAAUACCGAUUGCGAAGGCAGGUUACUACCAAUACAUUGACGCUGAUGGACGAAAGCGUGGGGAGCGAACAGGAUUAGAUACCCUGGUAGU